RNAcentral lists this ribosomal RNA (1023 nucleotides) under uncultured Bacteroidota bacterium. RNAcentral describes it as "bacterial SSU rRNA". It matches the Rfam family "Bacterial small subunit ribosomal RNA", at positions 9 to 1033 of the family's 1533-position model. Lineage: Bacteria; Pseudomonadati; Bacteroidota. The record is from RNAcentral.
GAGUUUGAUCCUGGCUCAGGACGAACGCUGGCGGCGGGCUUAACACAUGCAAGUCGAAGGAGAAGGUAGGUGCUUGCACUUACUGGAGACUGGCGGACGGGUGAGUAACGCGUAGAUAACCUGCCUAUAUCUGGGGGAUAACAUUCCGAAAGGGAUGCUAAUACCGCAUAAUGCAGCGGGGCCGCAUGGCCACAGUUGUUAAAGGUUUCGGCCGGAUAUAGAGGGGUCUGCGUACUAUUAGUUAGUUGGUGAGGUAACGGCUUACCAAGGCGAUGAUAGUUAGGGGGUCUGAGAGGAUGAUCCCCCACACUGGGACUGAGACACGGCCCAGACUCCUACGGGAGGCAGCAGUGAGGAAUCUUGCGCAAUGGAGGAAACUCUGACGCAGCCACGCCGCGUGCCGGAAGACGGCCCUAUGGGUUGUAAACGGCUUUUGAAAGGGAAGAACGCCCGGGUUUCGACCUGGGGUGACGGUACCUUUUGAAUAAGCACCGGCUAACUCCGUGCCAGCAGCCGCGGUAAUACGGAGGGUGCAAGCGUUGUCCGGAAUCAUUGGGUGUAAAGGGUGCGUAGGUGGGAGCCUAAGUCUGUGGUGAAAUCUUGCCGCUUAACGGUAAAAUUGCCAUGGAUACUGGGUUUCUUGAGUACAGAAGAGGUCAGUGGAAUUCGUAGUGUAGCGGUGAAAUGCAUAGAUAUUACGAAGAACAUCAGUGGCGAAGGCGGCCGGCUGGGACUGUAACUGACACUGAGGCACGAAAGCGUAGGAGCGAACAGGAUUAGAUACCCUGGUAGUCCACGCUGUAAACGAUGCAUACUAGGUGUUGGCCUUUCGGGGCCAGUGCUGCAGUUAACGCAGUAAGUAUGCCACCUGGGGAGUACGUCGGCACGAUGAAACUCAAAGGAAUUGACGGGGCCCGCACAAGCGGUGGAGCAUGUUGCUUAAUUCGAUGCAACGCGAGGAACCUUACCUGGGCUAAAUCCACAGUGUUACCUCCCGGAAAAGGAGGUCCCUUCGGGCACUAU